This 213-nucleotide small RNA is filed under the name Castor canadensis (American beaver). RNAcentral's name for it is "7SK RNA (ENSCCNG00000005923.1)". The stretch from base 1 to 154 matches the Rfam family "7SK RNA". From Rfam's summary of the family: 7SK was discovered as an abundant small nuclear RNA in the mid-70s but a possible function has only recently been suggested. Two independent studies have found that 7SK RNA binds the CDK9/cyclin T complex (known as elongation factor P-TEFb). The record is from RNAcentral. Lineage: Eukaryota; Metazoa; Chordata; Mammalia; Rodentia; Castoridae.
GGGCUAUCUGGCUGUGACAUCUGUCAUCUAUUGAUCACCAGGAUUGAUUUGGCUGGCUAGAUGGUUGUCCCCUUCCUUCUGUGUCCCUCCUGAAGCUGCUGCUCUGUCAAAGAGGAUGACCAUCCCUAACAGAGGAGGACCAUUCCCCUGCUAGAACCUCCAAACAAGCUUUCAAUAUGUAAUCAAGUAUUAAUCUGAUUAUUUACAUUUUUU